UACGUAGGGCGCAAGCGUUAUCCGGAAUUAUUGGGCGUAAAGCGCACGUAGGCGGCUUUGUAAGUUAGAGGUGAAAGCCCGGGGCUCAACUCCGGAAUUGCCUUUAAGACUGCAUCGCUAGAAUUGUGGAGAGGUAAGUGGAAUUCCGAGUGUAGAGGUGAAAUUCGUAGAUAUUCGGAAGAACACCAGUGGCGAAGGCGACUUACUGGACACAUAUUGACGCUGAGGUGCGAAAGCGUGGGGAGCAAACAGG
RNAcentral lists this ribosomal RNA (253 nucleotides) under uncultured bacterium. RNAcentral's name for it is "partial 16S ribosomal RNA". It matches the Rfam family "Bacterial small subunit ribosomal RNA", at positions 524 to 776 of the family's 1533-position model. The record is from RNAcentral.